This 421-nucleotide ribosomal RNA is filed under the name uncultured bacterium. RNAcentral describes it as "bacterial SSU rRNA". It matches the Rfam family "Bacterial small subunit ribosomal RNA", at positions 355 to 775 of the family's 1533-position model. The record is from RNAcentral.
UCGAGAAUCUUCGGCAAUGGACGCAAGUCUGACCGAGCGACGCCGCGUGCGGGAUGAAGGCCUUCGGGUUGUAAACCGCUGUCAGUGGGGAGGAAGGCCGUGUGAAGAGCAUGGUUUGACCUAUCCGCAGAGGAAGUGAGGGCUAAGCUCGUGCCAGCAGCCGCGGUAAGACGAGCCUCACAAACGUUAUUCGGAAUUACUGGGCUUAAAGGGUGCGUAGGCGGCGCGGAAAGUUGGGUGUGAAAUCCCUCGGCUCAACCGAGGAACAGCGCCCAAAACUACCGUGCUCGAGGGAGAUAGAGGAAUGCGGAACUUAGGGUGGAGCGGUGAAAUGCGUUGAUAUCCUAGGGAACACCGGUGGCGAAAGCGGCAUUCUGGAUCUCUUCUGACGCUGAGGCACGAAAGCUAGGGUAGCGAACGG